Camelus dromedarius (Arabian camel) is the source of this 3590-nucleotide long non-coding RNA. RefSeq lists it as uncharacterized. Lineage: Eukaryota; Metazoa; Chordata; Mammalia; Artiodactyla; Camelidae. The record is from RefSeq and is a predicted model, not a curated record. The transcript has 3 exons.
AGGAUUCUGCCUGAGGCCAUCAAUUUGCCAUAUCGAGGCCAGUGGAAAGAGUUUGGGAUUUCUAUUUAAAGGGCCAAGACUUGGAGGCAAACACUCAAACUCAAAUCCUGUACAUGGACUUCCCCCUCGGAGCCUCAGUUUCCCCACAUGUGAUUAUUGGGGAGGGAAAAUGUUUCUUCUCCCUUUCUAGGUUCUUCUAGCUGGUCUAGAAAUUAUGACAUGAGAUAGAUUAACAGGAGAAAAUCAAAUUUUAAUUUUGUACGUACGGGAGUUUACAGAAGUGUGAGACUCAAAGAAAGUGACCAAAGCAGGCAGCUUUUACACCUUUUAAACAAAGAAACAGUACAUUUGUGGAGAGCUGACAAGACAAAGAAACUUGGGCUUGGGUACUAAUUAGUGAAGGAUCUAAGCAGAGUGUGUUUACACAGCCUUCUCGGCUCCGAAUUCCCUAUCUCUGGUGAUAAGGAUGUCUGUCUACCUUUUGGUGCAGGGAGGGUACCUUUCACAUGGGAGAUUUACUUUCUGUCUUUAGGAGACAAAGAGGUGGUCAGGGUCUUGUGCUGGCUGUUCCUUGAGUAGCUCUAAUUCAAACUAAUAAAUAUGCCACUUUGGCAUAUUUUGGGAUGGCCGUCCCUUAGUCCCAACAGUUGCCUCCUCUAAAACCUCCCUGGAAGUUUUACAUGUUAAAAGCUGAGCUGGGGGCUGUGGAGAGAAGAAUCAGGUUAGUAGCUGAGUGGUAUAUCGUUCCGUACCUCACUGAACCAGUUUCCCAGACCUGAGAAUAGUUCAGUUUAGUUAGACUCGUUUCAGGACAUAGUGGUCAAGGUGGGCUCCCAAAGUUAGAUGUAUGCUUUAUUGCAUACGCAAUCAGGUACUUAAUAAGACCCAUUUCUAUGGAAACAAAAGAAGAACAAUGGUUCAUUAUCAGAGCAAGUUAUAAGCCAGUAUUUGAGUUCAGAGGGUAAUCAGUCAACAAAAUUUCUAAAUGUAAGACUUGAAGCAUCUUUUGAUGGGAGUGAGGGCAAGCUGUGGUCAUCUAUUAGAUUCUGUUAGUUCAUAGUUUGAAUGUCUCCAGUGAUGUUUUCUUUUCUUUUCUGAGUGGCCAUAAGGUAACAGGCACAAAGAUUAUCUAUACAUGAGCAGUUGUGGUGAUUUCUCUGAAGUUUAUAUUAAGUUGUCUGACUUUAGUUUACAUGGUUUCAGAAAAAGAGCAGUUUCAGUUCUCAGUGAUUUUGAGUUAGACAUGUGGGAGGAAAAUUGGAAGCUUUAGAGAGCUGCAGCCAGAUAUUGGAGGAACCUAGAAGAAGUUAGGGCCAGUUCCGUUUACAAAUAGAUAACAAACCUCAAAGACAAUUAACAGAAUCAGAAUCUGAUAUCCACCAAGGUGUAUUAUUGAAACAUAAUUUUUCUGUCUAAAAUUACCCCCAUGUUUACCAAAGAUAACCACAUUAAAACUAAUUGGUUUGCAAAAUGAGUCCAGUUUUAAUGAACGUAGCUUGAUUAUUUCCAUAAGUACAGCAAGAACAGUGAUUGACAGAAUAGGCUCUUUUAAGUCUGCUUUGCUUGAACUUUCGGCAAGGAGUCUUAGAUUGAAGUUUCAAAUGCCACUUGAGGCCAGGAAGGCAAGUCAAAUACUUGCCAUUAGACUUGUCUGCAAAACUUAUAGUUUUGGGUGAAUUUCUCUUUUCUUAAGAUUCCUCAAAUAUCCUGAUGUUUUUGUAUCUGCCAGGAAGUGAUCUUCCUUACUCACCUGGCUGCUGGGAACCCUAUAAGCAAGUCUCAGGCGACUGUGAGCUGUGUUUACAUUUCAAAGACAUGAUAAGGUUUUCAGUGUAAAGGAUCCAUCAUCUGGCCAUCGACAAGGAGGAUCUUAUUAGCAACUCAGACUGAUAAGCCUUUUUAGCUUAAGCAAGGAUGCAAGAGCAGUCCCAUAAGAAAGUGCAGCCCUCUCAAGAUUCAGAAAAUUCACUCUCAGAGAUAGUCUAAGAAGGCAAAGGCCCUCAUUGCACAGAUGGUAAGGAUGGUGUAGUGAAAAUGGUGUCUCCUGUCUCUCCUGGAAACAUGAUAUGUCUUCAGCUACAAACCCACUCAUCUGUGACACUGCGCAGGUUCUACUGGAAUGAGAUUUUUCCAGCACUAACAAAGUCACACAAGUUGAGAUGACAAAGGCUUCUUAUGGACUGGGAGCCCUUAUGACAACUCCCCUGACACCUGGCACAGCUGGACAGAGAGUGCUGCUUGUGCCUUCAGGUCUUGAAAUCUCAGUCUAUUUAGAUGGCAGAGACCAGAAAGAAUAUCCCCACUGGUCACAAAGCAAAUCUCAGGACACAGAACAAGAAGAAAAGAAAAACCUCAUUCAGUUUUUACAUAGGGGUAGUUUUAGAUAAACAGCAGAGUUUGGCUAAACAGACCCCAGUUUGAUGAGAACUCUGGACUCACCAGUCUGUAAGUAGCUUAUAGGGUCUAUGUCACCUUCUGCCAUAGGACUUAUGACAAACAACACAACAGAGAUAAAGAAGACUUGUCGCCAUUUCUGGGAGGAGAAAGAUCAAUAAAAAUCAAGGGCACUCAUUACCAAGUUUUUGUGAGUUGCUAUGUUGCAAGGAACUAGUACCUCAAGUAUUUUCUCCUGAUAAUCUAAAUUGAGAAAAAGAAAAGGACUCUCAUCACUCUCACUUGCAACAGAUCCUGCAGGCAGGAGGUUGGCCUGGUAGCAAUUCUUACCUUCUGCCGACAUUUGUCAGAGGUCCCAGCAUCUCUUAGCUGCUGCAAGUUCAGAGUGAGCAUCGUCCAGCCAGGAAAGUUUAUCCUAUUGACUACGUCAACUGUUGAGGAGGAAAAAAAAAAUUUCCUCUCCUUUUCUAGGCCCUUCUAGCUGGUCUAGUAAUUAAAUCGACAUAUAGAUUAACAGGAGAAAAUCAAAUUUUAAUUAUGUAAUAAGAGAGUUUAUAGAAAUGUGAAACUCGAAGAAAUGACCAUAGCAGACAGCUUUUAUAUCUUUUAGACAAAGAAACAAUAAAUUUGUGAAGAACUGACAAGCCAAAGAAACUUGGGCUUGGGUACUAAUUAGUGAAGGAUCUAAGCGGAGUGUGUUUACACAGCCUUCUUGGCUCGAUAAGGGUGUUUCUCUACUUCCUGGUGCAGGGAGGGUACCUUUCAUGUGGGAGAUUUACUUUCUGCCUUCAGGGGACAAAGAAGAGGCAAGAGCGUUCAUCUUGCACUGGUGGUUCCUCAAGUCUUUAAUUCAAACUCAUGAAUAUGCCACAUUGGCAUAUUUUGGGGUAGCCUGCCCUGAACCCCAACCUGACACUUGCCUCAUGAGGCUGCUCUGAGCAGUGGAGGAGAUCAUGGCUUGCAUGUGACAAGCCCUGGACCCACUCCAUGUGCAAGCCUCCUUCGUUAUCCAAGGUGGAUCAGCUCCAGGACCCCCUGUGGAUAUCAAAAUCUGAGACUCUCAGGUCCCUUAUAUAAUAAUGGUGUCAUAUUUGCAUGGAACCUAUACACAUCCUCCUGUAUUCUGUAUCAUCUCUAGGUUACUUAUAACACCUAGCGCAACGUAAAUGCUAUGUAAGAAGUUGCUGGUGUGCAGC